GCUGUAGCCUUUUGCUGGCAGGAGACCACUGUGUGGAGUCAGAGGGCAGAGAGAUGGGGAAGCCAGGUGCUAAUGACAUCACUGGUUUGCUGGAUGCAGCCUUGCCUGAUUUAUCUGUGAACUCCUUCAGUUCUUUAAGACAACUAGGUCACUUCAUUGCUUGAGUCUGAGAUUUCUGCUCUUAGAAACAUACUCAGUGUUACUGAGCUCCAGCUGCCUACACAGAACCCAUUAACUACCUUUUACUUCCUCACAGAACCUCUCUUUUACAGAUGCCCCAUCCUCAUGUAGCCCCUAUGACCCAGAGGAACCCCUUCAGCUUGAGGAUGAUUUUGGGAACACCACGCCUUAGAGAAGGUCAGUGACCUCUGCCUGCCCUCUGCGCUUUGCCCACCCCCACCCCCUGCCCACCAUGGUGUGUGACAUUGGUGCCAAGGGGCAAGUUCAGCCGGAGUGAUGUUCUUGGUAGAGCUGAAGUGGUCCACCACAGCUACAGCAGACAAAGCUCUUUGUUCUCAACUCACGCUGCUAAUCGUUCAAUUCCAAGGACAACCAGGAACAUCGCAUUUUGUUUCCAGAGCUGCAUGAUAUCUUGGAGGAAGCACGGGUGUCCCACUUGCAUAUCCUGACCCUCACCCCUUUGGUGCAGAGGGGCCAGGCCACCAGCUACCAGCACCUGCCCAGCAGGGGAGGCUGAAGUGAUGGGAAAUCAGUGCCCCCUGGAAAAAGCCCUCAACAAUAACUGCUAAGAAUUGAUACAUAAAUGCCUUAGCUCCGUCUCUC
This 783-nucleotide long non-coding RNA is filed under the name Bos indicus x Bos taurus (hybrid cattle). Its description in RNAcentral is "lncRNA (ENSBIXG00000015911.1)". Lineage: Eukaryota; Metazoa; Chordata; Mammalia; Artiodactyla; Bovidae. The record is from RNAcentral.